Molecule: ribosomal RNA, 460 nt
Filed under: uncultured bacterium
Lineage: Bacteria
Description: partial 16S ribosomal RNA
Rfam family: Bacterial small subunit ribosomal RNA
Source: RNAcentral
CCUACGGGUGGCAGCAGUGAGGAAUAUUGGUCAAUGGGCGCGAGCCUGAACCAGCCAAGUCGCGUGAGGGAUGAAGGUUCUAUGGAUCGUAAACCUCUUUUAUAAGGGAAUAAAGUGUGGGACGUGUCCUAUUUUGUAUGUACCUUAUGAAUAAGGAUCGGCUAACUCAGUGCCAGCAGCCGCGGUAAUACGGAGGAUCCGAGCGUUAUCCGGAUUUAUUGGGUUUAAAGGGUGCGUAGGCGGCCUGUUAAGUCAGCGGUGAAAGUCUGUGGCUCAACCAUAGAAUUGCCGUUGAAACUGGGGGGCUUGAGUAUGUGUGAGGCAGGCGGAAUGCGUGGGGUAGCGGUGAAAUGCUUAGAUAGCACGCAGAACCCCGAGUGCGAAGGCAGCCUGCCAAGCCAUGACUGACGCUGAGGCACGAAAGUGUGGGGAUCAAACAGGAUUAGAUACCCUUGUAGUC